GAGGAGUCAAGACGUCUUGCGGAGGAGAGAACCACCCAGAGCAGGGUGAAGGAGGAACUGAGGGAGACAACAGCCAGGCUGAAACAACUGGAGAGAGACUUGGAGACAAAGGACCGAGACAUGUCCUACACGACCAAGCAGAAUCAAGUUUUACAAGAAAGGCUCAGAGAAAUGGGAGACCUCACACAUAUCAAGGAAGAGGCUGCACUGCUACAGAGAGAACUGGACUCUGCUAACAGGAAACUAGCAGAAAUGGGUAAUGACCACCAGCAAGAAAAGUCAAG
Molecule: long non-coding RNA, 284 nt
Organism: Branchiostoma belcheri (Belcher's lancelet)
Lineage: Eukaryota; Metazoa; Chordata; Leptocardii; Amphioxiformes; Branchiostomatidae
Exons: 4
Source: RefSeq, a predicted model, not a curated record